GAUGAACGCUGGCGGCGUGCCUAAUACAUGCAAGUCGAGCGAAUGGAUUAAGAGCUUGCUCUUAUGAAGUUAGCGGCGGACGGGUGAGUAACACGUGGGUAACCUGCCCAUAAGACUGGGAUAACUCCGGGAAACCGGGGCUAAUACCGGAUAACAUUUUGAACCGCAUGGUUCGAAAUUGAAAGGCGGCUUCGGCUGUCACUUAUGGAUGGACCCGCGUCGCAUUAGCUAGUCGGUGAGGUAACGGCUCACCAAGGCAACGAUGCGUAGCCGACCUGAGAGGGUGAUCGGCCACACUGGGACUGAGACACGGCCCAGACUCCUACGGGAGGCAGCAGUAGGGAACCUUCCGCAAUGGACGAAAGUCUGACGGAGCAACGCCGCGUGAGUGAUGAAGGCUUUCGGGUCGUAAAACUCUGUUAUUAGGGAAGAACAAGUGCUAGUUGAAUAAGCUGGCACCUUGACGGUACCUAACCAGAAAGCCACGGCUAACUACGUGCCAGCCGCCGCCGUAA
Molecule: ribosomal RNA, 515 nt
Filed under: uncultured bacterium
Lineage: Bacteria
Description: partial 16S ribosomal RNA
Rfam family: Bacterial small subunit ribosomal RNA
Source: RNAcentral